GGGCGAGUGCAGCCCUCAAUCCGAACUAAGAUUGGCUUUAGGAGAUUUCCAUCCCCUUUCGGGGUAGAUACCCAUUGUACCAACCAUUGUAGCUCGCGUGUAGCCCGGGAUAUUCGGGGCAUACUGACCUACCCGUUGCCCAUUCCUUCCUCCGCUUUANCAGCGGCGGUCCCCACAGUGUACCCGUCACUCCGGAGAGUACGCUGGCAACUGUGGGCGUGGGUCUCGCUCGUUGCCUGACUUAACAGGAUGCUUCACAGUACGAACUGACGACGGCCAUGCACCACCUCUCAGCUAAUCCGGC
RNAcentral lists this ribosomal RNA (304 nucleotides) under Methanothrix soehngenii. RNAcentral describes it as "partial 16S ribosomal RNA". The record is from RNAcentral. Lineage: Archaea; Methanobacteriati; Methanobacteriota; Methanomicrobia; Methanotrichales; Methanotrichaceae.